UUUUAUGGAGAGUUUGAUCCUGGCUCAGGACGAACGCUGGCGGCGUGCCUAAUACAUGCAAGUCGAGCGAACAGAUAAGGAGCUUGCUCCUUUGACGUUAGCGGCGGACGGGUGAGUAACACGUGGGCAACCUACCUUAUAGUUUGGGAUAACUCCGGGAAACCGGGGCUAAUACCGAAUAAUCUAUUUUACUUCAUGGUGAAAUACUGAAAGACGGUCUCGGCUGUCGCUAUAAGAUGGGCCCGCGGCGCAUUAGCUAGUUGGUGAGGUAACGGCUCACCAAG
RNAcentral lists this ribosomal RNA (284 nucleotides) under Lysinibacillus sphaericus. Its description in RNAcentral is "partial 16S ribosomal RNA". It matches the Rfam family "Bacterial small subunit ribosomal RNA", at positions 1 to 272 of the family's 1533-position model. The record is from RNAcentral. Lineage: Bacteria; Bacillati; Bacillota; Bacilli; Caryophanales; Bacillaceae.